RNAcentral lists this ribosomal RNA (463 nucleotides) under uncultured bacterium. RNAcentral's name for it is "bacterial SSU rRNA". It matches the Rfam family "Bacterial small subunit ribosomal RNA", at positions 36 to 518 of the family's 1533-position model. The record is from RNAcentral.
CUGGCGGCAUGCUUCAUACAUGCAAGUCGAACGAUAAGGUCUCUUCGGAGAUACAUAAGUGGCGGACGGGUGAGUAAUAUGUAGGAAAUCUGCCCUAGAGAGGGGGACAACAGAGGGAAACUUCUGCUGAUACCCCAUAUGAGCGUACCUGAAAUGGUAUUCUUGAAAACUCCGGUGCUCUAGGAUGAGCCUGCAUCUGAUUAGCUAGUUGGCGGUGUAAUGGACCACCAAGGCGACGAUCAGUAGCUGGUUUGAGAGGAUGAUCAGCCACAAUGGGACUGAGACACGGCCCAUACUCCUACGGGAGGCAGCAGUAGGGAAUUUUGCGCAAUGGGCGAAAGCCUGAACCGCAGCAAUGCCGCGUGAACGUAGAAGCCCUUCGGGGUGUAAAGUUCUGUCAGUGGGGACGAAUUUUGACGGUACCCACAGAGGAAGCACCGGCUAACUCCGUGCCAGCAGCCGC